GCUCAGAACGAACGCUGGCGGCGCGUUUUAAGCAUGCAAGUCGAACGGGAUCCAAGGCUUCGGCUUUGGUGAGAGUGGCGAACGGGUGAGUAACACGUAGGUUAUCUACCUUUGGGUGGGGGCUAGCCCAUGGAAACAUGGGGUAAUACCGCAUAAGGCCCGCAAGGGUUAAAGGAGCAAUUGUUCCGCCUGAGGAUGAGCCUGCGGUCCAUUAGCUAGUUGGUGUGGUAAAGGCGCACCAAGGCUACGAUGGAUAGCCGGCCUGAGAGGGUGAACGGCCACACUGGGACUGAGACACGGCCCAGACUCCUACGGGAGGCAGCAGCUAAGAAUCUUCCGCAAUGGGGGAAACCCUGACGGAGCGACGCCGCGUGGACGAUGAAGGCCGGAAGGUUGUAAAGUCCUUUUCUUGGUGAAGAAUAAUGCUGGGAGUGGAAUGCCCGGCAGAUGACGUUAGCCGAGGAAUAAGCCCCGGCCAAUUACGUGCCAGCAGCCGCGGUAACACGUAUGGGGCGAGCGUUGUUCGGAAUUAUUGGGCGUACAGGGCGUGUAGGCGGCCUGUUAAGCUUGGUGUAAAAGGCCCACGGCUCAACCGGGGUUUGGCGCUGGGAACUGGCAGGCUAGAGUUCUGAAGGGGGAGCUGGAAUUCCAGGUGUAGGGG
This 661-nucleotide ribosomal RNA is filed under the name uncultured organism. Its description in RNAcentral is "bacterial SSU rRNA". It matches the Rfam family "Bacterial small subunit ribosomal RNA", at positions 22 to 681 of the family's 1533-position model. The record is from RNAcentral.